RNAcentral lists this ribosomal RNA (529 nucleotides) under uncultured bacterium. RNAcentral's name for it is "bacterial SSU rRNA". It matches the Rfam family "Bacterial small subunit ribosomal RNA", at positions 776 to 1310 of the family's 1533-position model. The record is from RNAcentral.
AAAUAGAUACCCAGGUAGUCCACGCCCUAAACGAUGUCAACUAGCUGUUGGGGCCUUCGGGCCUUGGUAGCGCAGCUAACGCGUGAAGUUGACCGCCUGGGGAGUACGGUCGCAAGAUUAAAACUCAAAGGAAUUGACGGGGACCCGCACAAGCGGUGGAUGAUGUGGAUUAAUUCGAUGCAACGCGAAAAACCUUACCUACCCUUGACAUGUCUGGAAUCCUGAAGAGAUUUAGGAGUGCUCGCAAGAGAACCGGAACACAGGUGCUGCAUGGCUGUCGUCAGCUCGUGUCGUGAGAUGUUGGGUUAAGUCCCGCAACGAGCGCAACCCUUGUCAUUAGUUGCUACGAAAGGGCACUCUAAUGAGACUGCCGGUGACAAACCGGAGGAAGGUGGGGAUGACGUCAAGUCCUCAUGGCCCUUAUGGGUAGGGCUUCACACGUCAUACAAUGGUCGGGACAGAGGGUCGCCAACCCGCGAGGGGGAGCCAAUCCCAGAAACCCGAUCGUAGUCCGGAUCGCAGUCUGCAA